RNAcentral lists this ribosomal RNA (551 nucleotides) under uncultured bacterium. RNAcentral describes it as "bacterial SSU rRNA". It matches the Rfam family "Bacterial small subunit ribosomal RNA", at positions 355 to 897 of the family's 1533-position model. The record is from RNAcentral.
UAGGGAAUCUUCGGCAAUGGGGGGAACCCUGACCGAGCAACGCCGCGUGAGUGAAGAAGGUUUUCGGAUCGUAAAGCUCUGUUGUUAAGGAAGAACGAGUGUGAGAAUGGAAAGUUCAUACUGUGACGGUACUUAACCAGAAAGGGACGGCUAACUACGUGCCAGCAGCCGCGGUAAUACGUAGGUCCCGAGCGUUGUCCGGAUUUAUUGGGCGUAAAGCGAGCGCAGGCGGUUAGAAAAGUCUGAAGUGAAAGGCAGUGGCUCAACCAUUGUAGGCUUUGGAAACUGUUUAACUUGAGUGCAGAAGGGGAGAGUGGAAUUCCAUGUGUAGCGGUGAAAUGCGUAGAUAUAUGGAGGAACACCGGUGGCGAAAGCGGCUCUCUGGUCUGUAACUGACGCUGAGGCUCGAAAGCGUGGGGAGCGAACAGGAUUAGAUACCCUGGUAGUUCACGCCGUAAACGAUGAGUGCUAGGUGUUAGGUCCUUUCCGGGACUUAGUGCCGCAGCUAACGCAUUAAGCACUCCGCCUGGGGAGUACGACCGCAAGGUUGA